AUGGGGGGUUUGGGCUUCAAAGAUUUCGAGCUCUUUAACUUAGCAAUGUUGGAAAAACAAGCGUGGAGGCUGCUACAGAAUCCUGCAACACUAAGUGCAUGUAUUUUGAAAAGUGUGUAUUACCCAAACUCGAAUAUUCUGGGUGCUGAACUUGGGAACCACCCAAGCCAAGUGUGGCGGGCCAUCAUCGAAGGCAGGGACACACUACGUCAGGGGCGGAUCAGACGGAUUGGUAACGGAGAAACAACACAUAUCUGGAAUCAAAACUGGUUGCCACGUGAAGGGAUGUUCCGACCCUUGGGAACUAUAUCCCAAAAUCCGCCCACCAUGGUGGCUGAGCUCAUAAUUGGAUCGACGACAUCAUGGAACAGGCAACUGGUGCAAGAACAUCUUAUGCCAAUAGAUGCACAAGUUGUGCUAGCAAUCCCUCUGUGCACCAGAAACAUAAGUGACUUUUGGGCCUGGUACUACGAGAAACAUGGAGAGUUCACUGUCAAGUCUGCGUAUAAGAUGCUUGUCGCAACCAAAUCAAGACGGGAAGCUUGGUUAGAAGGGUCGGCGGGACAAUCUAACUCCAUUGUAGAGGAGGGAGCGUGGAAGAGACUAUGGAAGACGGAGGUUCCGGGUAAAAUCUGUAUGUUCUUAUGGAGACUCUCAAAGCAUUCCCUACCCACAAAUGAUGUCAGAGCACAUAGACAUAUGGCUGACACCGACCAAUGCGGGCUCUGUGGUAAUCGAGAUCCGUGGCGACACUCCCUGCUGAGUGCUCAUCAUCAAGGAGUGUUUGGGCGCUCAUCGACGAGGACAUCACACAUAAAAAAAUAG
This 825-nucleotide ribosomal RNA is filed under the name Triticum aestivum (bread wheat). RNAcentral describes it as "partial small subunit ribosomal RNA". The record is from RNAcentral. Lineage: Eukaryota; Viridiplantae; Streptophyta; Magnoliopsida; Poales; Poaceae.